AUUGAACGCUGGCGGCAGGCUUAACACAUGCAAGUCGAGCGGAGACUUCGGUCUUAGCGGCGAACGGGUGAGUAAUACCUAGGAAUCUGCCUAUUAGUGGGGGAUAACGAAUCGAAAGGUUCGCUAAUACCGCAUACGUCCUACGGGAGAAAGGGGGGAGUCUUCGGACCUCUCGCUAAUAGAUGAGCCUAGGCCGGAUUAGCUAGUUGGUAGGGUAAAGGCCUACCAAGGCGACGAUCUGUAGCUGGUCUGAGAGGAUGGCCAGCCACACUGGAACUGAGACACGGUCCAGACUCCUACGGGAGGCAGCAGUGGGGAAUAUUGCGCAAUGGGCGAAAGCCUGACGCGGCAACGCCGCGUGUGUGAUGAAGGCCUUCGGUUGUAAGCACUGUUCAGAGGGAAGAAGUGACGGGGGUAAACGACUACCGUUUUGACGGUACCUACUGAAGAAAGCACUGGCUAACUACCGUGCCAGCAGCCGUCGGUAAAGUCAGUGACU
RNAcentral lists this ribosomal RNA (499 nucleotides) under uncultured bacterium. Its description in RNAcentral is "bacterial SSU rRNA". It matches the Rfam family "Bacterial small subunit ribosomal RNA", at positions 30 to 533 of the family's 1533-position model. The record is from RNAcentral.